GACGAACGCUGGCGGCGUGCUUAACACAUGCAAGUCGAACGGUGAAGCGCCUUCCUUUUUGGUGGGUGUGGAUGAGUGGCGAACGGGUGAGUAACACGUGAGUAACCUGCUCCCUUCUUCCGGAUAACCGCAUGAAAGUGUGGCUAAUACGGGAUAUUUUGGGUCUGUCGCAUGAUGAGUCUGGGACAGUUUUUGUUUCGGUGGGGGAUGGGGUCGCGGCUUAUCAGCUUGUUGGUGGGGUGAUGGCCUACCAAGGCGGUGACGGGUAGCCGGCCUGAGAGGGUGGGCGGCACCACAGGGGAUAAAACGCCGACAAUACUCCGACGGGCAGCAGCAGGGGGGAAUACGGCACGGGGGGAGCAAGGCUGAUGCAGCGACGCCGCGGGGGUGAUGGAGGCCUGCGGGUUGAAAUCCUCUUUCGCCAGUGAAGCAGGCCGGCAUUGUUUGUGCGUGGGUUGACGGUAGCUGGAUAAGAAGCGCCGGCUAACUACGUG
Molecule: ribosomal RNA, 494 nt
Filed under: uncultured bacterium
Lineage: Bacteria
Description: partial 16S ribosomal RNA
Rfam family: Bacterial small subunit ribosomal RNA
Source: RNAcentral